UGUAUUUAACUGUGGUACACGAAAGAGAAAUUGAGUGAGUUACAUGAGGCAUUUUUAUUUUUUUUGGGUUAUUUUUAACUUGAUUACUCAGUAGUUAGUGCUUUAUUCAUGAAUGGGACUUUAGAAAGGCGCUCAAUUAGAAAGGGGGUUAGACACAGUGCCAGCAUCUGCGGUUA
This 176-nucleotide ribosomal RNA is filed under the name Gyrocotyle urna. RNAcentral's name for it is "partial 12S ribosomal RNA". The record is from RNAcentral. Lineage: Eukaryota; Metazoa; Platyhelminthes; Cestoda; Gyrocotylidea; Gyrocotylidae.